GAUGAACGCUGGCGGCGUGCCUAAUACAUGCAAGUCGAGCGAACGGACGAGAAGCUUGCUUCUCUGAUGUUAGCGGCGGACGGGUGAGUAACACGUGGAUAACCUACCUAUAAGACUGGGAUAACUUCGGGAAACCGAAGCUAAUACCGGAUAAUAUUUUGAACCGCAUGGUUCAAAAGUGAAAGACGGUCUUGCUGUCACUUAUAGAUGGAUCCGCGCUGCAUUAGCUAGUUGGUAAGGUAACGGCUUACCAAGGCAACGAUGCAUAGCCGACCUGAGAGGGUGAUGGCCCACACGGGAGCUGAGACACGGUCCAGCCUCCUACGGGAGGCGACAGGAGGGACUUUUCCGCAAGGGGCAAAGUCCUGACGGAGCAGCGCCGGGGGAGUGAGGAUGUUUUUCGGAUCUAAAAACUUUUUUAUGAGGGAAAAACAUAUGUGAAAGAAACUGUGCACAUCUUGACGUUACCUAAUCAGAAGGCCCCGGCUAACUACGUC
This 497-nucleotide ribosomal RNA is filed under the name uncultured bacterium. RNAcentral describes it as "partial 16S ribosomal RNA". It matches the Rfam family "Bacterial small subunit ribosomal RNA", at positions 28 to 507 of the family's 1533-position model. The record is from RNAcentral.